Molecule: ribosomal RNA, 253 nt
Filed under: uncultured bacterium
Lineage: Bacteria
Description: partial 16S ribosomal RNA
Rfam family: Bacterial small subunit ribosomal RNA
Source: RNAcentral
UACAUGUGGGGCGAGCGUUGUUCGGAAUUACUGGGCAUAAAGGGUGCGUAGGCGGCAUGCCAAGUCGCUGGUGAAAGUUCGCGGCCCAACCGCGAAAUGGCCGGUGAUACUGGCGUGCUUGAGUGCGUGAGGGGUCGGGGGAACGAGUGGUGUAGCGGUGAAAUGCGUAGAGAUCACUCGGAAGGCCAGAGCCGAAGGGGCCCGACUGGUACGCAACUGACGCUGAGGCACGAAAGCGUGGGGAGCAAACAGG